AUCAUAACAAAUGCCUCAAUACUAAAAAUAACCACUGACCUCUCUGAUGUCGGACUUUACUUUGAAAAAUGUGAAGGUUGCAACUUAAGGGUCAGGAAACUGUCCGGGCCCUUCCUGUGCCAAUGACACCUCAAAAACACUUUAAGUUCCCGGAUUAAUUAAUGUAUGCAUUAAUGUGUGAUACAUACAUUAUGAACUGAUGCAUCAUUAACCUAUUCAUAUGUUUGAAAGGUACUGUGAUGCAGUUCUUUACUAUCACCACAUGGUGGCCCCCAACACCAGGAUAAUAAAUGACAAACAAAUCUAGCAGCAGCUCUCCUCCUGCAGACUUUUAGAUGAUACAGUUCACUGUUGUCUUUGCAGCUCAGUUAUACAGCUAGACAGUCAGAGCCGUCUGGGACAUGGUGUAGAACAGCGCUGGGAUCAGAUCAAGGCCACCAAAUGGUCACGUUAGAUUUGGUUUCAGGCUGAGGCUGCGUGACUGAAGUCUGGCUCAUUUCCACGAGUCCAACACAUGAAUCAUGCACCUGAUUGACAGACACCAGCACACCUGUGCACAACAAUUAUAAACCUAAGCAAAAUCAGACUGCCUUCAUACUGAUCUACUCAGCUGUCAAACAAUUACACAGUGAUACUAUAAACUAACUAAACUGAAACAGAAGAAUUAUGUGGACGUCUGAGCAUUGUAAACCUUCACUGCAUGUUCCAGGUGGAUUUGCAUACAUUUACUGCUAUAACAGUCUCCGCUCUCCUGUGAAGGAUUACUAACAGCCAGAUAGUACAGACUGGGAUUUCCUUCCAUUCAACCAGAGCAUCAGUGAGGUUGGGGGCUUGUGUUGAACAUUAAGCCAUCAGUCUCAGUUCAGCCCAAGGAGAUUGGACGCGGUUAAGAUCAGAUCUGUCAAGUUCAUCCAAAGGAAAGAGCAACAAAGUACACACAGCACACACAGUAGAAACACAAAAGCAAAACUUUAUACUUUUCACCUUACAGUCCACAAAACUGUUGCAGUGUUACUUUCCUCUAUCAGUGUGGGCACAUGUCUUUAGCUUUAUUUGACUCGUUGGCUCGGUGUAUGCCAUCUAUCUGCCUUAAUAAUAAAAAGUGCAUUCGAAUUUCCAUAAGAGCGAGUUAGUAAGUCCAAGUCUAUAUGAGGAUCAGGAUGCUGAAAUGCACUCAAAAUACAGCAAAAUACAGAAAUGAAUGUUUGAAUUUAUAUGCAGGCAUUCAGCCAUGGAGGACAAGUUUGACUUAAGUCUGGUGUAUGCUGGUCCAGCAGCUCGUUGUUCCUCACCUACACAUGGCUCGUUUGCAGAAAGCUGAGGACCAGGACAAGUGCAACUUUAUUUAACCUGGCAUCUUUAAUUUUCUGUUUGUCAUAAUUAAAAUGUUGGAGCGUUCAGCGCUUUUGGUUUUUUAUUUUUAUACUA
Molecule: long non-coding RNA, 1428 nt
Organism: Astatotilapia calliptera (eastern happy)
Lineage: Eukaryota; Metazoa; Chordata; Actinopteri; Cichliformes; Cichlidae
Source: Ensembl